GAACCAAACCUGGGGAGAGAGGGCGGCGGUGAGGGCGGGCGGGCUGGCAGGGACGGGCCCGGGUGGCGCGGCGCGGCCGGCGCCCCUCACCUGGAUGCGGGACUCGGGGAUGUGCGUGGCGUCGGCCAGCUUCUCCCGCAGAUAAGGCAGCAGGAGCGCUGGCGUGUACAGAGCAGUGCAGGAGAAGCAGGGACCUGCUGACACUGAAAAUCCUGGCAGACUGAAGACUGAUCCUCCCUGCACACAGAGCUUGGGUUUGCAUCUCUUCAGACAAAUGGUCAUCUUCCCACUGGCUGCAUGGAGCAGGCUCCUACUUCAGGGACCAGGAUAAUUUCUACCUGUGAGACAUGAAGACCCACACAGCAAACCCCUCUUUCCACAGCAACAUGUUGCUACUAACAGGGUAUAGCCGAGCCUGGGCUGUCCAAACGUACACGUCAAAUACCACUGUAACUUGCCUUGUUGCUGAAGGGAAUGUGCAUGGCACGCUGGCAGAGACACACAGGGUUGUUCCUAGAAGAUCCUUGUUCCAGAGCAGAAUCGGUGCCAGCUUCCUGCUCUCCAGGCCAUUAACUAAUCUUAACAGCACUGCAGCUUCACCAGAUUCCUUUGGCUGACCAAUGUGGAAAGGCUGGUUUCAGGUGAGAGUUUUACUUAGGACCAUGUAAAAGGCCUGUGCACAAAGAGCUGCAGCAGACCGGGUCACUGCAGGGCUGCCUGAUCGCUUUUCCCUGUCCACACUUCCCAGGAUCACUCCUCAACCUCCUGCUGCUGUUUUCAGCAGAUGCAGACACCAUGAACCACAUCACAUGGUAGGAAUGAUCUACUUUUUCUUCACAACAAAAGGAGAGUCGCUCCUGCCUCUGUCUGUGGGUCUGGGUUGCUGCUUUUCUCCAUGUAAGCCCAGAGAAAUCAUGAAUCAUCAAAGGAAGUGCUCUCUGGAGCACUUGCAGAAUAGCCAGAGUUCAGAUAAUUGCCAUUGUUUUUCUGGGUGAUGUUUGGACCAUUUAAGGAAUUGACCACUGAGCCUGGUAUGAGUAGGAAGGGGAAAGCUGAGUACACCUUAGCUAGCAGUGCCUCAGAUAGGCGCAGCAGAAGUGUACCUGCUUUGGCUGGCACUUCUUUAGUGAGGAUGUGCCUCCAUUAGACCUAUUUAUUGAUGAUGACCUAUUAUUUAUUAACAAAAUACUCCUAGUGUGGCUGCUGCUCUACAGCAAAGUGUUAUUUUGCACCUCCUUCCUGAAGGAAACAAGCAGUGCUUGUUAAAAUAGAGAUUUUUCUGUUAAAACUGUGUUUUAUUACAGCUCAGAAGGGCAGAGGGCAGCACUGGUAGCAUCGUGAGGAUGCUGUAGGGCACCGUUCUCACUUGCCCUGCAUGAAGCAAAUGGGCUACAUGUGCCUUGAUGAGGAGAUGGUAUGACACUGUCUGCUGGUCCCUUUGUAGAGUGCCACUUGGGAGCACAGCAUAAAGAGGGCAGCAACAACCUCGGGGUGAGGCUGGGGAGGACUCGUAUGGUUGCUGGUGUCACGUGUUGGAGAAGUUCAUGUGGCAUUCUGGAAGGGGGAAGGCAGUGCUGAUCAUUCCUGGCUGCUGCACUUGGGUACGUGCUGAUGCACUUGGCUGUGAGGAUGGGGCAUUCUCCAGCAUAGAGGAGGCUUGUGUGCAUGUGGUUUUAAGGUCAGAUUGUGCCAUCACUCCCUUGAGCCGGUAAACAGGUUGUGAGAGGGGCUGUGCCAGUAACUCCUGCCCGUGACGUUUUUGGCAUGCCAUCUAACUAGUGCCUGCGGAAGGCUCUCGGACUGCGGUGAUGCUCCGUCUCCUCCCAUGUUGCAGAAGGUAGGCUAGAUAUCCCUAGCUUGGCCUUUUAAAUGGACUUCUUGCCAGGAUGGUGGGUCCUUACAGGAUGAAACAGAGCAGACCAGGGAAAGAGAAACACAUGGACGUUUCCCCAUGAGGUCUUUUAGGAUCUUAGGGGAAGCCAUAGCUGAAAA
Pezoporus flaviventris is the source of this 1992-nucleotide long non-coding RNA. RefSeq lists it as uncharacterized. The transcript has 3 exons. The record is from RefSeq and is a predicted model, not a curated record. Lineage: Eukaryota; Metazoa; Chordata; Aves; Psittaciformes; Psittacidae.